ACCUUAAAUGAAUGUUAAAGGAAAUUUAAAAGUAUGGUCUUACCCAGUAGUGAGAAUAUGUGAAGCAACUUACAAUACUGCUCUUGUGAGAAAGAAGGCAUCCAGGUUCUGAAUAAUGGUACACUGCCAUUUAUCCAAGCCUGUUGAUGACUGGUUAUGUUUUGUAAAAUGAAGUUUCUUGGAGAGGCUAGUUGUUGUAUUAAAUAUUACUGUCAUCAUGUUGCUGGUUUUGGGAGAGCUCUAGUGUUCGUUGUCCAAGCAUUAAAGUGGAAUGAAAUAUGAAGAUGCAGUAAAGUUCGUAAGACAAAAGUGAAAUGGAAAUGUUAGAAGCAAGCAGUUUUUCUCUUUGGAGCAGUAUUGUCCUACAAUGCAGCUGCACUUCCUAGACACCAGCAGUCAGAGAAACAACUCUUGCAGUAA
This 420-nucleotide long non-coding RNA is filed under the name Homo sapiens (human). Its description in RNAcentral is "non-protein coding lnc-FZD1-3:1". The record is from RNAcentral. Lineage: Eukaryota; Metazoa; Chordata; Mammalia; Primates; Hominidae.